UGGGGAAUAUUGCGCAAUGGGCGAAAGCCUGACGCAGCCACGCCGCGUGAGCGAUGAAGGCCUUCGGGUCGUAAAGCUCUGUGGGGAGAGACGAAGAAAGCCCGUGAAGAGCGGGCCUUGACGGUAUCUCCUUAGCAAGCACCGGCUAACUCCGUGCCAGCAGCCGCGGUAAUACGGAGGGUGCAAACGUUGCUCGGAAUCAUUGGGCGUAAAGCGCACGUAGGCGGCGAAGCAAGUUGGGUGUGAAAGCCCUGGGCUCAACCCAGGAAGUGCAUUCAAAACUGCUUCGCUUGAAUCUCGGAGGGGGUCAGAGAAUUCCCGGUGUAGAGGUGAAAUUCGUAGAUAUCGGGAGGAAUACCAGUGGCGAAGGCGCUGACCUGGACGAAGAUUGACGCUGAGGUGCGAAAGCGCGGGGAGCAAACAGGAUUAGAUACCCUGGUAGUCCGCGCUGUAAACGAUGAGUGCUAGACGGUGGAGGUAUUGACCCCUUCGCUGCCGAAGCUAACGCGUUAAGCACUCCGCCUGGGGAGUACGGUCGCAAGACUA
This 546-nucleotide ribosomal RNA is filed under the name uncultured bacterium. RNAcentral describes it as "bacterial SSU rRNA". It matches the Rfam family "Bacterial small subunit ribosomal RNA", at positions 355 to 896 of the family's 1533-position model. The record is from RNAcentral.